Molecule: ribosomal RNA, 382 nt
Filed under: uncultured eukaryote
Lineage: Eukaryota
Description: partial 18S ribosomal RNA
Rfam family: Eukaryotic small subunit ribosomal RNA
Source: RNAcentral
CAAUAGCGUAUAUUAAAGUUGUUGCAGUUAAAAAGCUCGUAGUUGGAUUUCUGGUUGAAGCGACCGGUCGGGCGUUGAUUCGUCUGCACUGGAGUCGGUUUUGGCCAUCCUCUAGGAAAGUGCGUCUGGUAUUAAGUUAUCGGGCGUAUGAUCCUGGUCUUUUACUGUGAAAAAAUUAGAGUGUUUAAAGCAGGCCUUCGCCUUGAAUACAUUAGCAUGGAAUAAUAAGAUAGGACUUUGGUCUAUUCUGUUGGUUUGCAGACCGAAGUAAUGAUUAAUAGGGAUAGUUGGGGGUAUUUAUAUUCCGAUGUCAGAGGUGAAAUUCUUAGAUUUUCGGAAGAUAAACUUAUGCGAAAGCAUUUACCAAGGAUGUUUUCAUUAA